Molecule: ribosomal RNA, 253 nt
Filed under: uncultured bacterium
Lineage: Bacteria
Description: partial 16S ribosomal RNA
Rfam family: Bacterial small subunit ribosomal RNA
Source: RNAcentral
UACGUAGGGGGCAAGCGUUAUCCGGAUUUACUGGGUGUAAAGGGGGCGUAGACGGCGAUGCAAGUCUGAAGUGAAAGCCCGGGGCUCAACCCCGGGACUGCUUUGGAAACUGUAUGGCUGGAGUGCUGGAGAGGCAAGCGGAAUUCCUAGUGUAGCGGUGAAAUGCGUAGAUAUUAGGAAGAACACCAGUGGCGAAGGCGGCUUGCUGGACAGUAACUGACGUUGAGGCUCGAAAGCGUGGGGAGCAAACAGG